Molecule: long non-coding RNA, 905 nt
Organism: Schistocerca piceifrons (Central American locust)
Lineage: Eukaryota; Metazoa; Arthropoda; Insecta; Orthoptera; Acrididae
Exons: 2
Source: RefSeq, a predicted model, not a curated record
CAAGCUUACUGUUAUAUGUCGUGCAUUUACACCGGAGACGUCUUAUGCCAGUGUGUAAAGUCUAUGCUUUUUCUUUCUCUCUUUAUCGACCAAUAUCCAGUUUGCUUUCUGCACAAACUAGUAUGGAAGUGUUAUAAGUUCAACUCCUAGCUGUUCAUGCCGCCGAGAUACUGCAUCAAGAGGUUCAGUGCGAACAAGCAUUCCUGCAUAGACAUUGUCACGCUCAAGACUAAAACACAAUGGAAUUAAUGUGAGGGUAAUGACUCAGACUUGAGGGGCACCUAUUGAACUUUGUUUACAUAUAUUAAAAAUAUUGUGCUUCGUGUGUUUAAGAACUUACAGACAGAUUGACAAUUUCAAUGGUUGUGAUUAUUUGGUACCACACACUAGUGGAAGCAGCAGUUGACCUUGAAUGUAAUGAUAUUCAAGGUCUGUUGAUGUUGGCAUCAGUUAGAAUAUGCCCAAGAUUGUGCACAGAUUCAUAAAUUACCUUCAAAAUUUUCUCCAAUCAAUUUUUGCAAUUAUUAAUACAUUUCCACAUCUCUAUUCUUUAGGAAUGAUAAUCUUACCAAAAUAAUUUUUAAUCUUAUUAAGUAAUAGAAAACUAUUGACUUUCGGAAUAAGCACAACAGUCGGAGAGAUCAGAGAAACAGGUUACCUCAAGAAGUGUGCUCUGCUCUAUUGUUUAACGUACAAGCAAUGGCCAAUCUUGUCCUCUCGAAGGCUGUAGCACUGGCAAAAUAUUGUACAGUAAAAAAAUUAAUUAAUUAAGCUGUAGCUAAAAUUCCUUUAUGUUUGCGAGUGUAAGAACUGAUGUGCUUUUACAUUAAGUACAAUUUUUUUUCUUUGAUUUUGUGAAGUAUGGUAUGGCAUGUAAAUAAAUAAACCUGUUGCAAGCCAUUGUA